This 34-nucleotide transfer RNA is filed under the name Aspidoptera phyllostomatis. Its description in RNAcentral is "partial tRNA-Met". The record is from RNAcentral. Lineage: Eukaryota; Metazoa; Arthropoda; Insecta; Diptera; Streblidae.
CCCCAUUAAUAAAGGUUUAAUCCUUUUCUUUUUA